UGAAGCCGGAAUUGCUAGUAAUGGCAGGUCAGCAUACUGCCGUGAAUACGUUCCCGGGCCCUUGUACACACCGCCCGUCACACCAUGAGAGUUGGGAAUACCCGAAGCCUGUGAGCUAACUAUAUGAGGCAGCAGUCGAAGGUAGAAUCAAUGAUUGGGGUGAAGUCGUAACAAGGUAAC
This 180-nucleotide ribosomal RNA is filed under the name uncultured bacterium. RNAcentral describes it as "partial 16S ribosomal RNA". It matches the Rfam family "Bacterial small subunit ribosomal RNA", at positions 1321 to 1500 of the family's 1533-position model. The record is from RNAcentral.